RNAcentral lists this ribosomal RNA (370 nucleotides) under uncultured bacterium. RNAcentral's name for it is "bacterial SSU rRNA". It matches the Rfam family "Bacterial small subunit ribosomal RNA", at positions 984 to 1354 of the family's 1533-position model. The record is from RNAcentral.
ACAUCCAUGGAACUUUUCAGAGAUGAGAAUGUGCCUUCGGGAACCGUGAGACAGGUGCUGCAUGGCUGUCGUCAGCUUGUGUUGUGAAAUGUUGGGUUAAGUCCCGCAACGAGCGCAACCCUUAUCUUUUGUUGCCAGCGGUCCGGCCGGGAACUCAAAGGAGACUGCCAGUGAUAAACUGGAGGAAGGUGGGGAUGACGUCAAGUCAUCAUGGCCCUUACGACCAGGGCUACACACGUGCUACAAUGGCGCAUACAAAGAGAAGCGACCUCGCGAGAGCAAGCGGACCUCAUAAAGUGGGUCGUAGUCCGGAUUGGAGUCUGCAACUCGACUCCAUGAAGUCGGAAUCGCUAGUAAUCGUGGAUCAGAA